AUCGAUUAUNCACGCUAANUUCUACUUCAAUCCUCAAAUUUAUACACCGACAUCUNNNNNAUUAAUUUUUAAAUAUUUCUUUCAAGAAACGAUAUAAAGUUAGGUCAAGGUGUAGUCUAUAUUAAAGAAUGAGAUGAAUUACAUUAAAUAUUAUUUAAAGAUUAUUAAUAAAUAUAUUUAUAUAAAUAAGGAUUUAAAAGUAAAAUUCAAAGAAUAAUUUAACGUGAUAUAGAUAUUAAAUGUGCACACAUCGCCC
Molecule: ribosomal RNA, 256 nt
Filed under: Coelotinae sp. ZZ531
Lineage: Eukaryota; Metazoa; Arthropoda; Arachnida; Araneae; Agelenidae
Description: partial 12S ribosomal RNA
Source: RNAcentral